CAGGUGUAGUUUAAUGGUAGAACAUUAGCCUUCCAAGCUAAAUACGGGAGUUCGAUUCUCCUCACCUG
Molecule: transfer RNA, 68 nt
Filed under: bovine gut metagenome
Rfam family: tRNA
About the family: Transfer RNA (tRNA) molecules are approximately 80 nucleotides in length. Their secondary structure includes four short double-helical elements and three loops (D, anti-codon, and T loops).
Source: RNAcentral